This 816-nucleotide ribosomal RNA is filed under the name Rhodomonas sp. RCC2001. RNAcentral's name for it is "SSU rRNA". It matches the Rfam family "Eukaryotic small subunit ribosomal RNA", at positions 636 to 1488 of the family's 1831-position model. Lineage: Eukaryota; Cryptophyceae; Pyrenomonadales; Pyrenomonadaceae. The record is from RNAcentral.
UGUCGGGCUCGGGGAGAUUGUCGGCCUUUGGUCGGAUAGUUUCUCCGGGCCUUUCUGCCUGGGAACCCUAUUCUACUUAACUGUAGGGUAGUGGGACGCAGGCCGUUUACUUUGAAAAAAUUAGAGUGUUCAAAGCAGGCCUACGCUUGAAUACAUUAGCAUGGAAUAAUGGAAUAGGACUUUGGUCUUAUUUGUUGGUUUAUGGGACCGAAGUAAUGAUUAACAGGGACAGUUGGGGCCGUUUAUAUUUCGUUGUCAGAGGUGAAAUUCUUGGAUUUACGAAAGAUAAACUUCUGCGAAAGCAUUCGGCAAGGAUGUUUUCAUUGAUCAAGAACGAAAGUUAGGGGAUCGAAGACGAUCAGAUACCGUCGUAGUCUUAACCAUAAACUAUGCCGACUAGGGAUCAGUGGAUGUCAAUUUGCGACUCCAUUGGCACCUUGUGAGAAAUCAAAGUUUUUGGGUUCCGGGGGGAGUAUGGUCGCAAGGCUGAAACUUAAAGGAAUUGACGGAAGGGCACCACCAGGAGUGGAGCCUGCGGCUUAAUUUGACUCACCACGGGGAAACUUACCAGGUCCAGACAUAGUAAGGAUUGACAGAUUGAAAGCUCUUUCUUGAUUCUAUGGGUGGUGGUGCAUGGCCGUUCUUAAUUGGUGGAGUGAUUUGUCUGGUUAAUUCCGUUAACGAACGAGACCUCAGCCUGCUAACUAGUGACACAUAUUUCUAUAUGUGGACCACUUCUUAGAGGGACUAUUUGUGUUUAAUGAAUGGAAAUUUGAGGCAAUAACAGGUCUGUGAUGCCCUUAGAUGUUCUGGGCC